This 492-nucleotide ribosomal RNA is filed under the name uncultured bacterium. RNAcentral describes it as "partial 16S ribosomal RNA". It matches the Rfam family "Bacterial small subunit ribosomal RNA", at positions 29 to 507 of the family's 1533-position model. The record is from RNAcentral.
AGUGAACGCUGGCGGUAGGCCUAACACAUGCAAGUCGAACGGCAGCACAGUAAGAGCUUGCUCUUACGGGUGGCGAGUGGCGGACGGGUGAGGAAUACAUCGGAAUCUACUUUUUCGUGGGGGAUAACGUAGGGAAACUUACGCUAAUACCGCAUACGACCUACGGGUGAAAGCAGUUGAUCUUCGUACCUUGCGCGAUUGAAUGAUCCGAUGUCGGAUUAGCUAGUUGGCGGGGUAAAGGCCCACCAAGGCGACGAUCCGUAGCUGGUCUGAGAGGAUGAUCAGCCACACUGGAACUGAGACACGGUCCAGACUCCUACGGGAGGCAGCAGUGGGGAAUAUUGGACAAUGGGCGCAAGCCUGAUCCAGCCAUACCGCGUGGGUGAAGAAGGCCUUCGGGUUGUAAAGCCCUUUUGUUGGGAAAGAAAAGCAGCAGGUUAAUACCCCGCUGUUCUGACGGUACCCAAAGAAUAAGCACCGGCUAACUUCGUG